This is a long non-coding RNA of Haemorhous mexicanus (house finch), 1730 nucleotides long. RefSeq lists it as uncharacterized. NCBI's taxonomy places the organism in Eukaryota, Metazoa, Chordata, Aves, Passeriformes, Fringillidae. The transcript has 2 exons. The record is from RefSeq and is a predicted model, not a curated record.
GAGCAGAAUUGGGUGAUUUUGGUGAACUUCCUUUCAUUGCUGCUUUGCAUGCUGAAAAUGGAGGCUGUGGCUAUUGUUCUGCGAUAGUUUACACUCAACUGGCUGAUGGUUGUGAUCUUCUCUGAUGAGCUACUGGGAAUGUGGAAAAUCUGGCCUUCAACUGGAGAAGUCAGCCUCUCACAGGACCCUUCUUCAGCUCAAGAAACUGUAUUGGCGGCAUGAAGACAUAGAUCAAGAAAAGAGUUUCUCAUCUGUAUAACUUGCAACUAAAUUUACAGAAAUUCAUUUCUAUAUCACUUUGAUGGAAAAAGAUGCAUUUAAUUCCUAGGCUAAAGCUCCAAACCCAUGUUCAUAAUUUUGGGUGUUUUUAUUUCUUGACUGGAAUGAUCCUCUCUCUCACCAGAUAAACAGUGAUUACAGUGUUCAUACCAAUUCAUGUCAAGACAGGAAGAUUGUUUGAAACAAUCCAUGUCAUGUUUAAUACACUAAGCCUAUGAGUGGUGCCAUGGAGUUUAUUUUGCAAAUGCACAAAAUCUGCUUACAAUAAAAAGUCUGAGUCUGAAAGCAGAUAUUUUUUAAGGUAGCCCUAAGCAACCACAACAUAGUAACUACUGAGAAACACAACACAAAAAACAAAUAGAUGUCUAGAAGUGCUACUGAGUGAAACAAAAAAAAGGCAAGGGUGUCCUUUUGUCAACCUCCUCUAUGCGCUGGAAUGAAAAAAGUACAUUUGAGUCAGAAUCAAAGACAGGGAAACUGCUGGGUCUGCUCUCAACAUGCCUUUGAACCAGCCUAAGCAUGCCUCAGUCUAGCUGGGAGACGUGCAUAUACUGGCUUGAGGAUUUCACAACUGGGAAAAUGAGGGAGCCUUUAGUUUGUGUAUUUUGUUUAGCUAAAUAUAGCACCACACAUAACUUGUGAAAAAGGGUUUUGAACCUUUGAAUCUUCAUGUAGCUUUCAAAAGCAAGACAGAGAAACACUGACUGGUUCAUCUUUCCAGUCAAGGGGCUAGGAAAGCAAACAACUUUCUGUUAGGUGCUACUUUUUAAAUGGGAUCUUUUCAAUGUAAACGCUACAAGAUCUUCCCGUGGGGUUGCAAUAAUUCCCCAGUGGACUAGAACUAUAUCCACUAGGACGUCCUGGUCACCAUUUUUGGGAGGUGCCAUGAUACAAUUAUUAGUAUCUACCCUCAGGUCAGGAGACGGAGGAGCCACCGGGCAGUCAGUGCAACUAUGCAAUACAAAAUAGAAAUAAUAUGCUAAUACAAAACAGAAAUAAAGGCACAGUUUCCACAGUGGAGAAGAGUCCAAUGUGAGUAGCUUGGAAAAAAUCAAAAACCUUGAACAGAAUGAAGAAAAGAAUUAGGUCACUGAGUCUGAGCCAGGAAAAAAUACACACAAGAGGAAAUUAGAACAGCAGAAGUAUUUCAUAUUAGCUCAUCCAAAGAUUUAACGUGCAUGGGCAGCAUUAUGUUCUGUCUUCUGGAAAGCUAUUAUGGGCAGGAAAGAUUGUUAGGAAUUUUUAUGCCAUCUCCACAAUGUAACCAGUCCUACCCAACAAAUUACAUAUGUGGCAGUAUACAUUUGAUAUGAGAUAGCCUUUCAGCCUGAAAGCUGAAUGCUGAAUUUGCCUUAAUGAGAAACAGCACAAAGCCUGCUUGUUAACCCUUUUAAUACUGUACAUUACACACAACCAUCAAGAUUGAAAAUAAAUACUCAACAUUGUUAUUC